RNAcentral lists this long non-coding RNA (1612 nucleotides) under Bos indicus x Bos taurus (hybrid cattle). RNAcentral's name for it is "lncRNA (ENSBIXG00000029114.1)". The record is from RNAcentral. Lineage: Eukaryota; Metazoa; Chordata; Mammalia; Artiodactyla; Bovidae.
CUGUCACAUUGCCCUCCUCACUGUUUUCAUACACACUACACAGGGUUCUACACCCCAGCUUUUCCACUGGCCUUACCUCUGUCUAGGAUACUUUUGAUAGGCAUAUCUCCUCUAGGCUGUUGCUCAAAUGUCACAAUCUUAGAACUUCCCUGACUACUCUUUCUAAAUAUCACCCCCUCUCUCUAUUUCAGUAUCCCGAUUUAAUUUUAAUCACGGCACUUACAAACACCUGAUACAUUACUUGUAUUUGGGGACCACAUGAUCCCAACAGAAUGUAAGCUCCAUGAGGAAAAGGUUGAUUUUCUCUGUCCUAACACACACAGUUGUGCUUGACACAUACUUUGGAGAGAAUGAAUGAAUGAUGGAAUGAACAAACAAAUUUAAAUUUGUUGAGAGAGGCAUAGCUAGACAGGCUGAGGAUUCUGCUAUGAAACAUAUUCAGGGAUGACAAGAUGGUGACAAAGCCAUGGUCUUUAUCUCACCUACGUGGUGGUGUCCUUGGGUUCCCUCGGCGUUGACCCCUUUCCUAACAGAAUGGAAGGUCCUGUUGUCUCUUCCACAUAUUACUCGCAGUGAGCGAAAGAGGGCUUUACCACACCAGGCCUGCAGAUUCCAGUCUGAAGCUUUAUCUAUCCUGCCCCUUGGGGGACUGCAGCUGGCUUUCCCCCAUGAGACCUAUUUUGUAUUGAACAGGAAAGCACAAACAAUCACAAUGCCCAGCAAAGAUAAAGUGUUUUCCAUGCUCUGUUACGACAGUGAUCCCCAUAGAGACGUUAUCUUCAGUUUACGGAGACUUUUUUCUGAGUCCCAAAUUGCAGGAAUCUGUGGGGUUUUCCCCCUAACCUUGCCCUUCCGGCCUUUGUGGAUCCUCCUGGAAUGGUCCACGGGCAUCUAUAUCUGCUGUUCCCCAAUCCCACCAGCAAGGGGCGCGCGAGAUGAAACAGUUCUGUCCUGGGAUGUACCACCGAGGGUAGCGGAAAGACCACCCACUCUGGAAGGUACCAUUGGGAGAGGGCGUGUGACAACAGAGAGGGUCCCCUUACACCGCGUCGGGCAUGGACCACAGUUCCCAGCAGCGGCACUCAUGGCGCCACUAGGUCCAUCCCCACUCGCUCCUCUUCGUCUUCCCACUGCUUUUGAAUCCGAGUGGACACAGGAGAAAUAUCAGUGGGCAAGUAGCAUCAACAUUGGGACCUAUAGAUCAGGAUCGCCCAAGCUGGAUGAACCUGUGGUUGACCAGCAGCCCAGUGUUGAGCAACCUCAACAAGAGGAACCACCAGCUGGGAUUCAGGAUAUCAUACCUGGGAAGGAGGAAGUAAAUGGAGAGGAUCCACUGAAUCAUAAUGAAGAGAAGGAAAAGGAUGCCUCUGGAGAUUCUGACCUGGAAACUGAUCUCCAGGAAUUGGCUGAGGCAAAGACUGGGGGUAAAGGUGGAGAUGGUCAUGAUGUCAGGGAGGAGUUUGCAUCAAAUACAGAGCCUGUUGAAAUGCCAGAAGCAGGUGAAGGGCAACCAUUUGCUUGAAAGAAGAUAAACUGAAACGAUUUAUGCUGUUCUUAUGUUGUGUAUUUGACUGUUAAAGUUCUGUGAAUAAAGUUUCAUUUUCUACUUGCA